CCCGCUGAACUUAAGCAUAUCAAUAAGCGGAGGAAAAGAAACCAACAGGGAUUGCCUCAGUAACGGCGAGUGAAGCGGCAACAGCUCAAAUUUGAAAUCUGCCUCUAGGCCGAGUUGUAAUUUGUAGAAGAUGCUUUGGGUGUGGCACUGGUCUAAGUUCCUUGGAACAGGACGUCAUAGAGGGUGAGAAUCCCGUACGUGACUGGCUGCCUUCGCCCGUGUAAAGCCCUUUCAACGAGUCGAGUUGUUUGGGAAUGCAGCUCAAAAUGGGUGGUAUAUUUCAUCUAAAGCUAAAUACUGGCCAGAGACCGAUAGCGCACAAGUAGAGUGAUCGAAAGAUGAAAAGCACUUUGGAAAGAGAGUUAAAUAGUACGUGAAAUUGUUGAAAGGGAAGCGCUUGCAACCAGACUUGCGUGCGGCUGAUCAUCUGGCGUUCUCGCCGGUGCACUCGGCCGCACACAGGCCAGCAUCGGUUCUAGUGGCUAGACAAAGGCUCUGGGAAUGUGGCUUCCUUCGGGGAGUGUUAUAGCCCUCGGUGCAAUGUAGCCUACUGGGAUCGAGGACCGCGCUCUGGCUAGGAUGCUGGCGUAAUGGUUGUAAGCGGCCCGUCUUGAAACACGG
Molecule: ribosomal RNA, 621 nt
Filed under: uncultured fungus
Lineage: Eukaryota; Fungi
Description: eukaryotic LSU rRNA
Rfam family: Eukaryotic large subunit ribosomal RNA
Source: RNAcentral